Non-coding RNA from Bactrocera oleae (olive fruit fly), 2925 nucleotides. The record is from RefSeq and is a predicted model, not a curated record. Lineage: Eukaryota; Metazoa; Arthropoda; Insecta; Diptera; Tephritidae.
GCUGUCUAGUUGCUUCUGGUAAUUUAUCGUCGAUUCGAUUUUGUUCUAUCAUCCAUGUUCGUCACAAAAUGUUAAGUUAAUUUUGAUAAGGUGUCUUACAUAUUUUAUAUAUCGGGCAAUAAUGGUAUAAGUUAUACCGAAAGUUUGAAAAUCUUAUAUUAGGUAAAUGGGAUAAAGGGGUAAUAUUGACCCGACUUUGACAAAACCACACAUUAUUAACAUGCCUCACAACAUGACACAUAUUAAUAAAAAAGCUUCCAUUAUAGGCACAAACAUACUGUUAUUGUCGAAACACGCAGGUAUAUGGGGGCUUAGUGAAGUAUUGACCAGAUUCAACCCACUUCUGACUUACAAACAUACAAUUAUCAUGAAAGGACUCUCUCCAAAUUUCAACUUUAUCGAUAUUUAGGGUAAAAAGUCAGCCGUAGGCUUGGUGUCCUCAUAUUCGGUAUAUGGGGGCUGGAACAAUUAUGGCCCGAUUUCGUCAAUGUUUAGUCCUGAGAUGAUAUAUUCUAAAGGCAAUAUUUUUGCAAAGUUUAAUUCCGAUAUGUUCACUAGUGCUUGGUUUGUAAACAGGAAAGUGAUGACAAAAUCGGAUGGAAUAUGGGAAGUAGGCGUGGUUGGUGGUAUUUCGUUAAAUUUUCGCACCGUGAUACAGGAGUAUCAAGAUUAUAUAUAGGUCCCGAUAUAUGUUAGUGGUAGACGAUGCCACGCCCAGCGGCCAAUGUCGACACCGGAUCCUAUAAAGCCCAUUUGUAUCAUCCUAGAAGUAAAAUUUAAUGUCUCUGACGCACGUAUUUAUUAAUUUGUCGCACAUUUUUGUAGUUUUAUUUAUUUUAUAUUUUGUAAUUAUUAUCCGAUUUCACCUAUUUUCACAUUGUCGUAAGAAGUGUCGUAUAAAAUUGUCAUGUGGAAAUUCUGGUGAUAUUGCUUGAACUGUUUGGCAGAUUUUCACAGUAAACUUAUUAGGGGCGAGGCCAGGACCACUUUUUUUUUAUAGAUUUUCAAACCACAUUAGCCGCUCCUUACUGCGAUUCGUUGUUCCAAGUAUUGUAUUAUAUCUUAAUUUGCGGCUUAGUUAUAGCAAUUUAUAAGUUUCCGAUUGAUGGCGGUUUCUGGGCGUAGCAGUGGUCCGAUUACGCUUAUCUACAAUACCGAACUUCUUAUGGUGGCAAGGAACAUGUCUAUUAAGUUUCAUCGCGAUAUUUUAAUUUUUACCUAGGUUACAGCUUGCGCGGACGGUCGGAUAGACAUACAGUCAGUUUGACCUCGUCUCGUCAUUUUCAUCAUAUAUUAUAUAUAUGUAUAUACAUAAACCGCUUUAUUAAUCUAAGAUUAUUUUUAGGGGAUACACACAACCGUUAUGUGAACAAAACUGUAGCAACAUGUUGCAAGACUAUAAAACUGAAAUGAAAAAUAAAAAAGGUUAUUAAUCCUGGUUGGUCCAACAUCGGGGGUCCUCAGUUUUUUCGCAUAGAACUCUUUUUUGUGUUGGCGGAUUUCGGCAAAAAAUAUCUCUAAUUGAUCUAACGCCGGUCUUUAUCAAGAGAGGAAUUCUGAAAGAUUUUGCGUUACCCAAGAUUAUGAAUUUUGUAUUAACAGAAUAACUAUUGUUUUUUUAGUUAUUUUUUUCGUUUACAAAAUAUGAAUGCAUAUUUUGCAUGCAACCAUUUUGUUAUUUUAUGAAUAAAUGGGUUUAAACAAAAGUUAAGUAUUGAAUUAAAACUAUUUUUGCACUAUUCAAUACAAAACAACCCUACAAGACGGUGGUAAUUAAUUUACUACAUAAUCACACUUAACUUUUUGUUGUUAAAUGAAAAAUUAUGCUGUAAAAGUAUCAACUAUUUAUCAUGCAAAAUUUUUGAAUGCAAAAGAAAGAGAUGCACACAUAGACAAAGAAUCUGUCAAAAAUUGCAGCCAUUGAAUCUACCAUUGGAAGAGCAUCAGGAAACCAACAAACGAAUACCAUUGUGAUAUAAAUCGUUCUACGUUUUUUUGAAUUUUAUUUUGAUUGGAUUGCAGUUGAAUUCAAAUAAUUUAAGUCGCGUAGUUUUUAGCAUACCAUCUGUCAUCGCGAUAGAUCAAAAAUACGUAAGUGGCCGAUUUCAAUGCAACACGCAUUUCGCCAUGGGAGCCGCGUAUCAAAUUGAAAUAUUCCCUGUGUGGGGCAUAGAGGUUGUGCGUAAAUUGGUUGAAAAGGAAAUGAAUGCUGUGCACCAGUUCUACGACUUGUACGUGAACUACCGUAAUUUGGCCUUGUUAUGUGAGGUAUCAAGACAAUAAUUUUGAUUAAUCAAAUUGAAGAAAUUGUGCAUCAUUUUCAUACCACCGUUGCCAAAUACACAAAUUUCUGGACGGUACGAAGAAAAAUUUUUGGAGCAUCGACCGUCAGACACAACACCGCUAUCGGAAAGUAUUCGGCGGUCGGGGGUAUUGGGCAACUAGUUUCCAGCUUAAAUUGGUCUGGAUACAAUCCUCAGACCAUUCUCUGUAAUACGACAAUGAAGUUAGUUAUAUAUGCAUUUGUAGUUUUUAUUUCAGAGCGGUCCUCAACAGUUUUGCUGACAUUAUCUCAACAGACCAGGGUGCAAUGCCCAAAUGACAUACAUAUGUGAAUCGUCGCAGCAAUGUUAUUUCCUAUGCUGUAAUGACUGUAAUGUAGUAUGACAUGGCGCAGUUUUGUGAUUAAGGGACCAAAUCAUAUUUUUUAUGUAUAUAUAUUUAUAAUAAAUUGUUAAUAAGAUUGUAUUGUUAAAUGUACUUAACUUGUUUAAGUACACAUUUUAAGUGUUAAUAUUUAUAAUUAACCUAUAUAUUGUAUAACAUAAAUAUAUGUUUACAUUUUAGGUAUUAAUUAAUUUUAAUGAUUAGUUUAACUACAAUAAAAACGCUUUUUCAAUAAAAUAAAAUAAAAUAAUAUAAAAA